RNAcentral lists this ribosomal RNA (119 nucleotides) under Helianthus annuus (common sunflower). Lineage: Eukaryota; Viridiplantae; Streptophyta; Magnoliopsida; Asterales; Asteraceae. The record is from RNAcentral.
GGUUGCGAUCAUACCAGCACUAAUGCACCGGAUCCCAUCAGAACUCCGCAGUUAAGCGUUCUUGGGCGAGAGUAGUACUAGGAUGGGUGACCCCCUGGGAAGUCCUCGUGUUGCAACCC